Molecule: ribosomal RNA, 448 nt
Filed under: uncultured bacterium
Lineage: Bacteria
Description: partial 16S ribosomal RNA
Rfam family: Bacterial small subunit ribosomal RNA
Source: RNAcentral
AACGAACGCUGGCGGCAUGCUUAACACAUGCAAGUCGAACGAGACCUUCGGGUCUAGUGGCGCACGGGUGCGUAACGCGUGGGAAUCUGCCCUUAGGUACGGAAUAACUCAGAGAAAUUUGUGCUAAUACCGUAUGAUGUCGAAAGACCAAAGAUUUAUCGCCUAAGGAUGAGCCCGCGUAAGAUUAGCUUGUUGGUGAGGUAAAAGCUCACCAAGGCGACGAUAUUUAGCUGGUCUGAGAGGAUGAUCAGCCACACUUGGACUGAGACACGGCCCAGACUCCUACGGGAGGCAGCAGUGGGGAAUAUUGGACAAUGGGCGAAAGCCUGAUGCAGCAAUGCCGCGUGAGUGAUGAAGGCCUUAGUGUUGUAAAGCUCUUUUACCAGGGAUGAUAAUGACAGUACCUGGAGAAUAAGCUCCGGCUAACUCCGUGCCAGCCGCCGCCGAA